Molecule: ribosomal RNA, 467 nt
Filed under: uncultured bacterium
Lineage: Bacteria
Description: partial 16S ribosomal RNA
Rfam family: Bacterial small subunit ribosomal RNA
Source: RNAcentral
GACGAACGCUGGCGGCGUGCUUAACACAUGCAAGUCGAACGGAAAGGCCCUGCUUUUGUGGGGUGCUCGAGUGGCGAACGGGUGAGUAACACGUGAGUAACCUGCCCUUGACUUUGGGAUAACUUCAGGAAACUGGGGCUAAUACCGGAUAGGAGCUCCUGCUGCAUGGUGGGGGUUGGAAAGUUUCGGCGGUUGGGGAUGGACUCGCGGCUUAUCAGCUUGUUGGUGGGGUAGUGGCUUACCAAGGCUUUGACGGGUAGCCGGCCUGAGAGGGUGACCGGCCACAUGGGGACGGGGUUACGGCCCAGACUCCUACGGGGGGAAGCGGUGGGGAAUAUUGCACAAUGGGCGGAGGCUGAUGCAGCAACGCCGCGUGCGGGAUGACGGCCUUCGGGUUGUAAACCGCUUUCGCCUGUGACGAAGCGUGAGUGACGGUAAUGGGUAAAGAAGCACCGGCUAACUACGUG